This 73-nucleotide transfer RNA is filed under the name Parcubacteria group bacterium. RNAcentral's name for it is "tRNA-Thr". It matches the Rfam family "tRNA". From Rfam's summary of the family: Transfer RNA (tRNA) molecules are approximately 80 nucleotides in length. The record is from RNAcentral. RNAcentral also lists the same sequence under 1 other name.
GCCGAUGUAGCUCAGUGGCUAGAGCAACUGUUUUGUAAACAGUAGGUCGUGGGUUCGAAUCCCACCGUCGGCU